UUUCAAGCAUCAUUCUAGAAAUAUUUAAGGGAAAAUAUAUGGAAAGCUUAUUUAUGUUAGCAUCUUUACUGAAAGGUCCUGUUCUUCUCUCAGCUCUGGCGUUGAGGCACUUCCAUUCGGGUAACGACGAGGCCAUCUGUGUGCUCCCUGAAAAGCUGCCACAAGUGCUCCAGCAGCUGUGUCCAUGCCGGAGCGAGAGCUGCUCAGACACAUUGCCAGUCCCAUAUAACAUGCCCAACGUCUGCUAA
This 248-nucleotide long non-coding RNA is filed under the name Phasianus colchicus (ring-necked pheasant). Its description in RNAcentral is "lncRNA (ENSPCLG00000018226.1)". The record is from RNAcentral. Lineage: Eukaryota; Metazoa; Chordata; Aves; Galliformes; Phasianidae.